Molecule: long non-coding RNA, 836 nt
Filed under: Cyanistes caeruleus (blue tit)
Lineage: Eukaryota; Metazoa; Chordata; Aves; Passeriformes; Paridae
Description: lncRNA (ENSCCEG00000018985.1)
Source: RNAcentral
AAACACUCAAUUCCCAUCUAUGUCAAGCAGACACCUGAUACUGAAACCAGCUGUCAUGUCUUUAAAGACUGUCCAGAGCAGCUACAGUUUGCUGACAACAAGCCUCCAUUUUAUGAAAAGGAUUGAGGAUUCAAAUAAAGAAUCUUCUCAUCUUGCGCAGUUAUUACCUUACCAGAGGACUUUGCUGGUGAGUUCAUACAGGAGGUGUUUUUUCAGAAAGCACAUGAGGAGGAGAGAACAGUGCUUCACUGAACAUGUUGUACAGCCCCUGGUGCUGCAGCUCAGACCUGGAGAAGCCCUUACAGGUGGGUGGGCGGCUCCCAGGGCUGUCCCCUGCAGAACUGCUGGAUGCACCAUUUGCUGUCCUGUGAGAAGGUCCCUGCAGUUACAGAGCUUUCAGACUGGGACCAUCUCCAUAAUGUUUAAUAAGGACAAAGGAAUACUUAGAGAUGUGAAAUGGAAGCUAUUUCUGACAAGUUGGGAUGUUCAUGGUGCUUCGUGGGUUGUCAUUUGAAAGGCUUCACUCAUGGAUGAAAACAGGAAAUAAAGAAUUUAUUAUUGAAUGAGGGUAAAUUGACAGACACUUCAGACACACACUCAGCUUCAGUAUUUCAUCCUGCUUUAACUCAUGUGCAGGACAGAAGGGAACAUUUCCACCUGUGAAGUUCCUCUGAUGUGGCUGCAGAAGGUGCCUGGGAAUGCUUCCUAUACCAAUUGCAUCCACUAUUUUUCUUUAUCACACUAAAUCAUCUCCAACCAUUUGUGUUCCCUGUGUGCUAGAAAUGCUGCCAAGGCUGAAGGAGCCUGAAAUAAAUCAGGGAAGUGAUUGAUUGGCA